CUAGACAGGCGGGCUUCGAUCCCGCAAACCUCUAAUUAACAGUUAAAUGCCUCAACCUACAGGCUUCUGUCUA
This 73-nucleotide transfer RNA is filed under the name Megaceryle alcyon (belted kingfisher). RNAcentral describes it as "tRNA-Asn". The record is from RNAcentral. Lineage: Eukaryota; Metazoa; Chordata; Aves; Coraciiformes; Cerylidae.